AAAUAAGUGACGGCGAAGUUGGCGACUCAUCAGCGGACUGGCCGAUAAUGAGGCUCCUCCAACGAGAUCAUUGGUCGAUAUAUCCAACGGAACAACAUAGAUAUGCAGAUGACGAGACUGAGCCUCGAGCAGGUACCGAUCAGUGUGUUCUAUCAACUGCAAAUCAGGACAUUGGGGUAGAUGUCAUUCCUUGUGUCUUGCGGAUUUGGCCGAAACCGGCCUUUUCAUUGGCGAAUUGUCAACUGCAUCAUAGCAAAGGAACCUCUCUGUCACUUUCCAGAAGUCAAAACUCACAGCUGGACAUAUGAGCACCAAGCUUGGUGGUCAGCUGGUUACCAUGCCGCGGGGGCGGAACUAUAAACUAUGGCUUGAUUGAUCCAAAAAGAAGCUCGUUAUACGAAGAUCUGCCCAAAAGUAACGAACGAGGGUAGGAGGAAGAUAAAGAGGACGAAGAGAGGAAGAUGGGGAAGUAGUUUUGGUGUGUCGAGGAGAGAGAGGGAGGAAAAAAGGAGAGCGGAAGAGAGGACGAGAGAGAGGACCUUGCGAAGAGGCGUAGGGAAAGAAGAGAUACGAGCGCAGGAUACAGGAAAGUGUGGUAAAGAUGAAUCAACUCGUAGAGAUAUAAAAGGCGUAGCCAUCCGAGUAGAUAAAAUGUAUUGCACAAGCAGCU
RNAcentral lists this small RNA (670 nucleotides) under Cryptococcus neoformans H99. RNAcentral's name for it is "Cryptococcus neoformans var. grubii H99 hypothetical RNA". The record is from RNAcentral. Lineage: Eukaryota; Fungi; Basidiomycota; Tremellomycetes; Tremellales; Cryptococcaceae.